This 209-nucleotide unclassified non-coding RNA is filed under the name Glomeraceae sp. RNAcentral describes it as "partial contains 5.8S ribosomal RNA and internal transcribed spacer 2". The stretch from base 1 to 65 matches the Rfam family "5.8S ribosomal RNA", at positions 84 to 154 of the family's 154-position model. The record is from RNAcentral. Lineage: Eukaryota; Fungi; Glomeromycota; Glomeromycetes; Glomerales; Glomeraceae.
GUGAAUCAUCGAAUCUUUGAACGCAAAUUGCACUCUCUUCGGAGAGUAUGCCUGUUUGAGGGUCAGCCUAAAAAAAAAAUCGACAUAUUGGUGUUUUCGCGUUGACAUUCUUGGGAAAUUGGUUAUUUUUAAACUUUUGGUUUUUAAGCGGUUUAAAUUUUUUUUUACAUUUCCAGGAAGGUUUCUAAAAUUUAUUUUUUUUCGUUUUA